GAUCUGACGGCUGGUCGCAUUCACGUGAACACACAGUGUGCACUCACUUUGCUGUCAGAAAACCCAUAUGUCUGAGAUUUAUUACAGAAGGCUCAACCCCAGGCUUGAGAGUUUGGACUCUGGGCAACAGGAGAGCCUCUGCCAUUGGACUCCACACAAGAGGCGUAUGCUUAGUCCCUACUGUGUGUCCAGCGCUGUCCAGGCCCUGGGGACACAGAGAUACAGCAGACCCAGUCCCAGACCCUCGACCCACAGCCACAGCCUAACAUGCAGGCCUGUGAGGGAGACGUCCGCUGGUCACUGGGGGAAACGCAGAGGAGGGAAUGUUUCCUCUGGGACUUAAAGGAUGAAGAGGAGUUCUCUCAGCUGAUCACAGGGGAAGGGAGCUCCUGCCACAGGGCUGAUGUCAAUAAAAGCAGAGUGAGAAAAUGCAUGAUCAGGGCGCGUCCACAUGCUGGGGUGGUGGGUGUGUGGAGAGACCAGCCGUGGGCUCCGGGGUUUGGAGCGGACCCUGCAGGGACGGGGACACCACCACGUACUGACUUGAUGAAGGGCCCUAAAGGUCCCUCCUGCCCUCACCUGCUCUGUUCGACUGCUGGUGGUGACGAGGUGGGCCCUGUGCUGGACAAGGAAGCCUUGGCCUGGUUCCAGGAGAGCUGUCUGUGGACAAGUAGUAACAAGGGCCCCAAACAGCUGCCAGGCAUCGAGCAGGGCUCACAGGUGGAGUUGGGGGAAGAGGCAGGCUCGCCUAGGGCUGAGGACUGAAGACGUCUCCUCCAAUUCCAACACCUGCCCCCCUUUUUGUAUCGCUAGGCUAAAAUGAGAUGGGAGCAUUUCUGGUUUCCGGAAUGAGCUGGCCUCUCUCUCAUCCCAGGUCCCACCACAUCCCUCAUGCCUCACUCACAUCUUCCUCAGUCAACAGGUUUCAGGCCACAAAUCACCUCCUCCAGGAAGCCCCCCCUGCCUCCCACACCCCUGACGAGGUAGCUGCCUCUCCGACUCCUAGCUUCCCCUGAAGUCCUCAUCAUCCGGUGUUGCCGUCUCCUGGUUAUGUAGCUGUGUCUCCCACCAGGCUUCUCCAAGACAUCCUGAGGGCAGAGAUGGCCUCUUGCCAGUUGCAUGAUGUGUUCCCAGCACCUAGAAUGG
This 1146-nucleotide long non-coding RNA is filed under the name Equus caballus (horse). Its description in RNAcentral is "lncRNA (ENSECAG00000056406.1)". The record is from RNAcentral. Lineage: Eukaryota; Metazoa; Chordata; Mammalia; Perissodactyla; Equidae.